This 1437-nucleotide ribosomal RNA is filed under the name uncultured bacterium. Its description in RNAcentral is "bacterial SSU rRNA". It matches the Rfam family "Bacterial small subunit ribosomal RNA". The record is from RNAcentral.
AGAGUUUGAUCCUGGCUCAGGAUGAACGCUGGCGGCGUGCCUAAUACAUGCAAGUCGAACGCUUUGUGGUUCAACUGAUUUGAAGAGCUUGCUCAGAUAUGACGAUGGACAUUGCAAAGAGUGGCGAACGGGUGAGUAACACGUGGGAAACCUACCUCUUAGCAGGGGAUAACAUUUGGAAACAGAUGCUAAUACCGUAUAACAAUGACAACCGCAUGGUUGUUAUUUAAAAGAUGGUUCUGCUAUCACUAAGAGAUGGUCCCGCGGUGCAUUAGCUAGUUGGUAAGGUAAUGGCUUACCAAGGCGAUGAUGCAUAGCCGAGUUGAGAGACUGAUCGGCCACAAUGGGACUGAGACACGGCCCAUACUCCUACGGGAGGCAGCAGUAGGGAAUCUUCCACAAUGGGCGAAAGCCUGAUGGAGCAACGCCGCGUGUGUGAUGAAGGGUUUCGGCUCGUAAAACACUGUUGUAAGAGAAGAAUGACAUUGAGAGUAACUGUUCAAUGUGUGACGGUAUCUUACCAGAAAGGAACGGCUAAAUACGUGCCAGCAGCCGCGGUAAUACGUAUGUUCCAAGCGUUAUCCGGAUUUAUUGGGCGUAAAGCGAGCGCAGACGGUUAUUUAAGUCUGAAGUGAAAGCCCUCAGCUCAACUGAGGAAUUGCUUUGGAAACUGGAUGACUUGAGUGCAGUAGAGGAAAGUGGAACUCCAUGUGUAGCGGUGAAAUGCGUAGAUAUAUGGAAGAACACCAGUGGCGAAGGCGGCUUUCUGGACUGUAACUGACGUUGAGGCUCGAAAGUGUGGGUAGCAAACAGGAUUAGAUACCCUGGUAGUCCACACCGUAAACGAUGAGUGCUAGGUGUUUGAGGGUUUCCGCCCUUAAGUGCCGCAGCUAAACGCAUUAAGCACUCCGCCUGGGGAGUACGACCGCAAGGUUGAAACUCAAAGGAAUUGACGGGGACCCGCACAAGCGGUGGAGCAUGUGGUUUAAUUCGAAGCAACGCGAAGAACCUUACCAGGUCUUGACAUCCCUUGACAACUCCAGAGAUGGAGCGUUCCCUUCGGGGACAAGGUGACAGGUGGUGCAUGGUUGUCGUCAGCUCGUGUCGUGAGAUGUUGGGUUAAGUCCCGCAACGAGCGCAACCCUUAUUACUAGUUGCCAGCAUUCAGUUGGGCACUCUAGUGAGACUGCCGGUGACAAACCGGAGGAAGGUGGGGAUGACGUCAAAUCAUCAUGCCCCUUAUGACCUGGGCUACACACGUGCUACAAUGGCGUAUACAACGAGUUGCCAACCCGCGAGGGUGAGCUAAUCUCUUAAAGUACGUCUCAGUUCGGAUUGUAGGCUGCAACUCGCCUACAUGAAGUCGGAAUCGCUAGUAAUCGCGGAUCAGCACGCCGCGGUGAAUACGUUCCCGGGUCUUGUACACACCGCCCGUCA